This is a long non-coding RNA of Rhinolophus ferrumequinum (greater horseshoe bat), 2113 nucleotides long. NCBI's taxonomy places the organism in Eukaryota, Metazoa, Chordata, Mammalia, Chiroptera, Rhinolophidae. The record is from Ensembl.
UGUAGAUGCAGAGACAGGAUGGGGGUGGGGAGGAUGGAGGUUGGAUAGAGGUGUGUGUGGGGUGUGGUGGCCAGGUGUGUGUGAGACUGGUUGGGAGCAGGAGUAGGGUGUUGGAGGGUUGAGGGAGGGUAAUGUGGUUGAAGCCUGAUAGGUAGAAGACUUCCUUGAUGUCUGAGAGGAGAGGAAGGGAGGUGAAGGUGUAGGGAGAGUGGAGGGCCUGUGGUGAUGUGGGGGGUAGGAAUCUGCGGACGAGAGAGCGUUGAGCUGGGGACUGAGUGGGGUUAGUGCAUGCUACAGCCUUACAAUGUGGAGAAAAUCUAUCUGGCGGCUCAUAAAUGAUGGUAUUCCUUGCACAUCUCCAUAACGUGGCGGUUGAGGUGACAACAUCAGGGCUGCCAUGUGCUUUGAGCUUUCCGAUUGAUCUGCGAAGGCUUUCUGAUUGCUGGGGCAAGGAGAGUGGUGUGUUACUCCUUGUCUAUAGUUUUCUCCAUCCAGUAAGUCUGCAACAGAAAUUGGAACACUUGCCAUUUCACAGAGCCAAGUUUUGGCCUUAAAUCAGGGUGAAGAAGAUGCUCAAGGAUAAAUACUGAAUGUCGAAAUGUGUUAUUGGUUCUGGUUUUCUCUAAAAAGUAUAACUUUGUCUUGACUACAGAUGGACGUUUCGAAAGAAGGGCCUGGCCAAUCGAAGGUCAAGGAUGAUUGUUGCAUUAUUAUUUUGGACUCCAGUGAUGAAGAAUUUGAGCCCAUUGAGGCUGGACCUAGCACGCAGAAAAAAGACGUUGGCUGCGUGGUGAUUGACUCGGACUCUGAUAACGAACCCUUGCCUGAGGGAAAGAGAGCGAAGGUCUCCAAGACCUGUGGCGAAGAUGACAUUCUGGUGUUAUCUGACACUGAUGAGUCUUCAGUAAUUGUCAUUGAUGAUGAUAGUGAUAUGGAGAGCCCCGUGAUAAUAGAAGAUGGUUCAUGUGAGGAGGGCCAAAUUUCAUCAAUUAAAAAGGAAAUUGAGGACUUUACUAUCUCCAAACACAAUGCAUCUGAUGAUAAUGGUGAGCAGGAUGUUGGUGAAAAACUAGUAAAUGAUCCUGAAGCUAAGCUGCAGAUUUCAGAUACAAAGAUGGUAACUGAUGAAAAGGUUGUGGCAGUGGCGGAGCAACCAAGGAAGAGGAAGUGUAAAGGCAGAAAUACAUGUGUGACCCCUGCAUUUGGGCCUUCAACUAAGAAUCUCACCGUGGCAAACCAUGGAAACCACGAGAAUGGACUAGGUACAGCCUCCAGUUUGCACUAAACCAAAGCAAAUGCAGUGGAAAUGGUGAGAAGGCAGACCCAACAUGUUCCAAUCCACUGGAGUCAGAGGGAGGGCGGUCAAGAUUGUCUUCCAGAUUUUUCUAGUUCUUUGGGCGAACCCAUUUACUAUUUGUAUACAUUCUUGCAAAAUUUUAAAGCUUUAUUAAACAUUAGGGUAAAAUAGAUUUGCUUAUAGUUCCUUUAUUUUUAUUUAUUUAUUUUUAUUGGGUAACAGUGUGUUUUCUCCAGGACCCAUCAGCUCCAAGUCGUUGUCCUUCAAUCUAGUUGUGGAGGGCGCAGCUCAGCUCCAAGUCCAGUCGCCGUUUUCAAUCUUUGUUGCAGGGGGCGCAGCCCACCAUCCCAUGUGGGAAUUGAACCGGCUACCUUGUUGUUGAGAGCUCGCGCUCUAACCAGCUGAGCCAUCCAGCUGCCCCUCUGGGAGCUCAGCGGCAGCUCAUUGUCUUCAAUCUAGUUGUGGAGGGCGCAGCUCACUGGCCCAUGUGGGAAUCGAACUGGCGAUCUUGGUGUCAUGAGCACUGCGCUCUAACCAAGUGAGCUAUCCUACCACACCUAGUUCCUUUAUUUUUAUUAAGCCAUUUAUAAUUGAUACUGAAAACAAUAUGCCAUUUAAACCAAAGACAUACUAAUACUUAAAGCAAAAAAAUUAAUACAUUUUCUCAUUUAGACUCAAGGAACUUCUCACUUUUUUCCCUUAGUAAUAUGAUGUAGUAAGCAUGAGUUUGUUUUUGCUUGCAUUCAGGAGUAAUAUAUACUUACAUCUGAAUUACCUUACAAGAGAAGGAAUAUACAUGGCAUGAUCAAAAAAUAU